This 437-nucleotide long non-coding RNA is filed under the name Homo sapiens (human). Its description in RNAcentral is "HSALNT0409120". Lineage: Eukaryota; Metazoa; Chordata; Mammalia; Primates; Hominidae. The record is from RNAcentral.
CUCUCUUUGUCUGUGCACAGAUGAGUGGCCAACUCUGGAGCCCAGGAUGUUGCUUCCCAGUCUGGUGGUGAAUCCUCCACAAUCUGAGCUGGCCCUCUGGUGCCCAAAGCAGACUCCUGGGGUCCCUGUAUUGGGCACUUACCCACUUCCUGCUGGCCGCAGCAUGACACCUGAUGCUCCUAGAGCAGCCAACUGAAUUCCAGAAGAAAGGCUUCAGUGGUGUGUUUUCCAGAAGGAACCUGGCUCCUAGGAUUAACAAACACAUAUUUGAUGGCUGGAGCUUCAGCAGCUAUGUUGGUGCGGAUAGAGAAAAAAAGCCAAGAAAAUCGUAAAGAUCUCUCUUGACAUCCUCAAGCAACUAACAAAAGCCAGCAACUGCCUACUUCCUUAUGUCUCCAUACGUGGAAAAAAUAAACUCUUUUGUGUUUAAAUCCCCA